RNAcentral lists this ribosomal RNA (492 nucleotides) under uncultured bacterium. RNAcentral's name for it is "partial 16S ribosomal RNA". It matches the Rfam family "Bacterial small subunit ribosomal RNA", at positions 29 to 507 of the family's 1533-position model. The record is from RNAcentral.
AGUGAACGCUGGCGGUAGGCCUAACACAUGCAAGUCGAACGGCAGCACAGUAAGAGCUUGCUCUUACGGGUGGCGAGUGGCGGACGGGUGAGGAAUACAUCGGAAUCUACUUUUUCGUGGGGGAUAACGUAGGGAAACUUACGCUAAUACCGCAUACGACCUACGGGUGAAAGCAGGGGAUCUUCGGACCUUGCGCGAUUGAAUGAGCCGAUGUCGGAUUAGCUAGUUGGCGGGGUAAAGGCCCACCAAGGCGACGAUCCGUAGCUGGUCUGAGAGGAUGAUCAGCCACACUGGAACUGAGACACGGUCCAGACGCCUACGGGAGGCAGCAGUGGGGAAUAGUGGACAAUGGGCGCAAGCCUGAUCCAGCCAUACCGCGUGUGUGAAGAAGGCCUUCGGGUUGUAAAGCCCUUUUGUUGGGAAAGAAAAGCAGCAGGUUAAUACCCCGCUGUUCUGACGGUACCCAAAGAAUAAGCACCGGCUAACUUCGUG